AUGACGAUGAAGCGUGCCGGCUUGAUUCAUGCUUGGCUCGGGCGGUUGAAGGAAGGAAAGGCCAAGAAAAGAAGGUGCCCGCCUCGCCUGCCGAAACCGAACUCCACUCCGCGCCGGAAUGCCCCAUCCAUCCAAAUGCGACGCGAUGGAUGGUCCACGGUGUGGCGGAGCGGCACUGUUGCGCCAUUGAGCGGCGGCGGAGGAGGAGGAGGAGGAGGAGCACCCUCUCUGUUCCCUGCGCCACAAGCAACAGCGCCGCUCCCAAUUUAUUUACCCGCCAGCCCCGCUCCGAGAUCUGCAGCAGCACAGUUCCCGAUUUUAAUUCCGCGCAGGCACAUGCGGGGCCGACGGCCUUGGUGA
This 360-nucleotide ribosomal RNA is filed under the name Triticum aestivum (bread wheat). Its description in RNAcentral is "partial small subunit ribosomal RNA". Lineage: Eukaryota; Viridiplantae; Streptophyta; Magnoliopsida; Poales; Poaceae. The record is from RNAcentral.